Molecule: ribosomal RNA, 655 nt
Filed under: uncultured bacterium
Lineage: Bacteria
Description: bacterial SSU rRNA
Rfam family: Bacterial small subunit ribosomal RNA
Source: RNAcentral
GGGGAUAAGAUCUCGAAAGGGGUUCUAAUACCGCAUAGGACCACAGCGCCACAUGGCGCAGGGGUGAAAGGAGGAAUCCGGUCAAGGGUGGGCUCGCGUCUGAUUAGAUAGUUGGUGAGGUAACGGCUCACCAAGUCAACGAUCAGUAGCCGACCUGAGAGGGUGAUCGGCCACAUUGGGACUGAGACACGGCCCAAACUCCUACGGGAGGCAGCAGUGGGGAAUAUUGGGCAAUGGGGGAAACCCUGACCCAGCAACGCCGCGUGAGGGAAGAAGGUUUUCGGAUCGUAAACCUCUGUCCUUGGUGAAGAGAAGAAGACGGUAGCCAAGGAGGAAGCCCCGGCUAACUACGUGCCAGCAGCCGCGGUAAUACGUAGGGGGCAAGCGUUGUCCGGAAUGAUUGGGCGUAAAGGGCGCGUAGGCGGCCUGGUAAGUCUGGAGUGAAAGUCCUUCUUUUAAGGAGGGAAUUGCUUUGGAUACUGCUGGGCUUGAGUGCAGGAGAGGUAAGUGGAAUUCCCAGUGUAGCGGUGAAAUGCGUAGAGAUUGGGAGGAACACCAGUGGCGAAGGCGACUUACUGGACUGUAACUGACGCUGAGGCGCGAAAGUGUGGGGAGCAAACAGGAUUAGAUACCCUGGUAGUCCACACUGUAAACG